GUAAAAAAAAAAAGCAUGCAAACCUGCACUAAAAGAAUCUGCGAAACAGCGAGGUGAAAGGUGAACCGUGUUAUAAUGAAGGACCGCUGUAAUUUUGAAGUUAUUUGGAACAAAUGAAGCAGGAGUGUCACUUCUGAUGGGAUCAUGGGGUGGCGGCCUGGAUCCCAUCCCAGCUGCAACAGGAGAUUUUCUGUCUCACUUCCACCAUCCUCACCUCCAUUUUCCCGAGCAAGAAGAGGAGAGCAUGAGUAAGAAAGCACCCUCUACACCUGGAACCUCUGGCAAAUGAGUAGGUGGAGGUUUAGGAUAGCCAGGAGCCAGAGUUGCUCGUGGAUCCAUCGUGGAUGAUGGUGGGCUGCCACAGAGCAUGAAGAAGAGAAGAAGGGAGGCAAAAUAAAUUUUGGCUCAAAGCUCCAGGAGCAAAAACAGAAAAAGUACUAACCAUAGUCCCACAACGAUUUCUGCACAGAAACCUUGAGCAGCCAUCUUUUUAGAUAGUUAUUACAUGCUGUGUAAAUAAAUCUUAUCAACUGCACUAAAAUACACAUAAAUACCGUGC
Molecule: long non-coding RNA, 559 nt
Organism: Astatotilapia calliptera (eastern happy)
Lineage: Eukaryota; Metazoa; Chordata; Actinopteri; Cichliformes; Cichlidae
Source: Ensembl